CACAGGGAGACAGAAAGAACACAGCUCUUUCUACAGGGCUGGAGAUUUCCACAGGGAGACAGACAGAACACAGCUCUUUCUACAGGGUUGGAGAUUUCCACAGGGAGACAGAAAGAACACAGCUCUUUCUACAGGGCUGGAGAUUUCCACAGGGAGACAGACAGAACACAGCUCUUUCUACAGGGUUGGAGAUUUCCACAGGGAGACAGAAAGAACACAGCUCUUUCUACAGGGCUGGAGAUUUCCACAGGGAGACAGACAGAACACAGCUCGUUCCACAGGGUUGGAGAUUUCCACAGGGAGACAGACAGAACACAGCUCAUUCCACAGGGUUGGAGAUUUCCACAGGGAGACAGACAGAACACAGCUCGUUCCACAGGGUUGGAGAUUUCCACAGUGAGACAGACAGAACACAGCUCAUUCCACAGGGCUGGAGAUUUCCACAGUGAGACAGAACACAGCUUUUUCCACAGGGCUGGAAGUUUCCACAGUGACACAGCCUGAACACACAUUCUCCUCCUACAGGGCUGUGUAUUAACUUGUGAUACUCACGUCUUAGUUGCUCAAAUCAUACAAUGAUUGGGAGAUUUGCAUGACAUUUCGAGACUCUGGCAUGGGGGUGCAGGUGUUUAGAGCGUUGGACUUGUAACUGAAAGUUUGCAAGAUCGAAUCCCUGAGCUAACAAGGUAAAUAUCUGUUGUUCUGCCCCUGAACAAGGCAGUUAACCAACUGUUCUUAGGCAGUCAUUGAAAAUAAGAAUUUGUUCUUAACUGACUUGCCUAGUUAAAUGAAGGUAAAAAUGUUUAAAUAAAUAAAUAUCAAGACUCUGUGAAGUUAGUAUUUCAGUCUGCUCUAUAUUAACACUGUUCAGAUGAACUUACCCCAAACCAUAUUUACUGUGUAAAACAUAGAGAAACUGGAGAUUUGUUUAAAUAUAUGAGUCACAGAGAGCUGUUCUAGAUAUCUGAGAUAUUGUCAACCCUAUUUUGGUAUGAAUGUUGAAGCUGCUGAAUUGAAUGUGGGAUGUUUUUAUAUGUCUUGUACACGUCAUGGCUAUGUGCUCAAGUUCACCCCAUGAGUUGAAACGAGUGAACUAAAUUGUAUUUGAGCAUCUGUAAGAUACCCUAUUCAGAGAAAGAUCUCAUCAGAGUCAACAUCAUUGUCCAAUUUAAGCUACAUUUGUGACAAAAUAGUGUAAGGUUUAUGACACUGUACUCUUUAUUCUUUCAAUUAAGACAAACCGAAAGAUAUGAGAAAUAAUUGUAAUUCCGAAAUGAUUAUAUAUCUUCUUACUCCCAUAAUCACGACUAAGACAGUGAUUCUAAUGAGAUUCUAUUCAUGGAGAUUCUAUGUUCAUUAGAGAUGUCAAUAAGAUGAUGAAUGUUGCCUAGAAUUACAGUGCUGUUUACAUUCGUACUGCUCACUUGAGAUAAUCCAGUUUAUGUUGUUAAAUCACAUCGUGAUGAUUAUUUAUCAAGCCUAUCAGCAUAUAUUUGUGCUAGCUUUGUGAUUUCAUGAGAAACGGUGAUGAACUAUGUAGAAUUCCAAUAGGUAAAAGGCAAGGCAGCUCAAUAAUUCAUCUGUGUACAUGGAAUGCAUAUGCAAUGGUCUCUGCAUUUCUACCCUAUCAAGAUGUCAGCUGUAGUCAUUCACUGACAAACAGCUAAGAUGAGAGGACAGAUGUACACUGACACUGUCUACACUCCACAGAGCAUUCGCAAGGUUCAUGCAUACCAACCAGAGCCAUGUAUUUCCAGAAGUUCCUGCAUUAUGACACAUUUACAUGACACUGCAACAUUCUAUGGUAGCUCCCCAUUAACAUUACCUGGGGUAUAUUUGAAUAUUGCUAUGUAACUUUAUGUCUAGAAUUAGAUCAAUAUUCAACAUUCUAAAAUUGGCACAACUCUCUAAAAAGACAUGGCUCUGAUACCAACCUCCUUCCCUCAGUGCCGACUCUAUAGAAUCUCUACAGGCCAUGUUUACUGCUGACACAAAAUCUGAUAAGCAACUGUGUCUGCAGCUCUCCUAAGUUAGUGGACUUUGGGUUUGGUUUGGGGUUUAGCUGCUUUCUCUGCCGUGUAGAAGUGUAGAAUGUAACACGAUGCUAUCGGUGUGAUAUUGGAGAUGGUUUCUGUUGAUAUUUGAUGAUAUAUUUAGUCGUUUCAUUCAGCUUCGUAAAACGUGAGAAUAUAUGUUACCGGCUGUUUAGAAACAUGUUUACUUCUGAAGGAGUAGGAGAGGGAAGUCUAGCCUACAGAGCAGUGUUUCCCAAACGGUGAGCCGGGGCCCUCUGGUGGGCCACAGACGGUUUCUCUUGGUCCCAGCUGGGCUCAGGUGGGUCACAAAGGUUUCUCUUGGUCCCAGCUGGGCUCAGGUGGGUCACAAAGGUUUCUCUUGGUCCCAGCUGGGCUCAGGUGGGUCACAGACGGUUUCUCUUGGUCCCAGCUGGGUCACAGACGGUUUCUCUUGGUCCCAGCUGGGCUCAGGUGGGUCACAAAGGUUUCUCUUGGUCCCAGCUGGGCUCAGGUGGGUCACAGACGGUUUCUCUUGGUCCCAGCUGGGUCACAGACGGUUUCUCUUGGUCCCAGCUGGGCUCAGGUGGGUCACAAAGGUUUCUCUUGGUCCCAGCUGGGCUCAGGUGGGUCACAAAGGUUUGGGAUCCACUGGGCUGUGGUACGUAAGGUAGGAAAUGUGGCAGGUUUUUGCUUUCGUUUCCUAGCCAUUGCAGAAUCAUUGUAACUGUACUGCAGAGUAACUUCUGAAUCAUUAUUAAAAACCUCUCAUUGUAAUGUUCUACUGCAAGACUCAAC
Long non-coding RNA from Oncorhynchus tshawytscha (Chinook salmon), 2810 nucleotides. Lineage: Eukaryota; Metazoa; Chordata; Actinopteri; Salmoniformes; Salmonidae. The record is from Ensembl.